GACGAACGCUGGCGGCGUGCUUAACACAUGCAAGUCGAACGUGAUUUUUGUGGAAAUUCUUUCGGGAAUGGAAAUGAAAUGAAAGUGGCGAACGGGUGAGUAACACGUGAGCAACCUACCUUACACAGGGGGAUAGCCGUUGGAAACGACGAUUAAUACCGCAUGAGACCACAGAAUCGCAUGAUAUAGGGGUCAAAGAUUUAUCGGUGUAAGAAGGGCUCGCGUCUGAUUAGCUAGUUGGAAGGGUAAAGGCCUACCAAGGCGACGAUCAGUAGCCGGUCUGAGAGGAUGAACGGCCACAUUGGAAACUGAGACACGGUCCAAACUCCUACGGGAGGCAGCAGUGGGGAAUAUUGCACAAUGGGGGGAAACCCCUGAUGCAGGCGAACGCCCGCGUGAG
Molecule: ribosomal RNA, 400 nt
Filed under: Parvimonas micra
Lineage: Bacteria; Bacillati; Bacillota; Tissierellia; Tissierellales; Peptoniphilaceae
Description: bacterial SSU rRNA
Rfam family: Bacterial small subunit ribosomal RNA
Source: RNAcentral